AUACGUAGGGGGCGAGCGUUGUCCGGAAUGAUUGGGCGUAAAGGGCGCGUAGGCGGCCCGGUAAGUCUGGAGUGAAAGUCCUGUUUUUAAGAUGGGAAUUGCUUUGGAUACUGUCGGGCUUGAGUGCAGGAGAGGUAAGUGGAAUUCCCAGUGUAGCGGUGAAAUGCGUAGAGAUUGGGAGGAACACCAGUGGCGAAGGCGACUUACUGGACUGUAACUGACGCUGAGGCGCGAAAGUGUGGGGAGCAAACAGGAUUAGAUACCCUGGUAGUCCACACUGUAAACGAUGAAUGCUAGGUGUAGGGGGUAUCGACCCCUUCUGUGCCGCAGUUAACACAAUAAGUAUUCCGCCUGGGGAGUACGGCCGCAAGGUUGAAACUCAAAUGAAUUGACGGGG
RNAcentral lists this ribosomal RNA (397 nucleotides) under uncultured bacterium. Its description in RNAcentral is "partial 16S ribosomal RNA". It matches the Rfam family "Bacterial small subunit ribosomal RNA", at positions 523 to 918 of the family's 1533-position model. The record is from RNAcentral.